Molecule: long non-coding RNA, 1207 nt
Filed under: Danio rerio (zebrafish)
Lineage: Eukaryota; Metazoa; Chordata; Actinopteri; Cypriniformes; Danionidae
Description: si:dkey-276l13.5 (ENSDARG00000096397.2)
Source: RNAcentral
CAAGAUAAGAGUUUCCACUAUUAAAAAGAUUGACCUCUCAGUGUUGGUGAAGCUCCCAGACCGGCUGCCCUCUGCUUUCCUCCGUAAUGAGUUCUCCACCUUCAGGGGAAGCCCAGAGGAGCUGUAGGCCAGAGGGGGGAUUGUGUUGACCAGUAUCAGCUGCAGGGGUCUCCUCUCCUCAUGGUAGCGGCACUGCAUGUACCGGGCGAACGCGGCACGGUAAGUCUUGUUGAAGAGUGUGUAGAUGAACGGGUUGACCGCCGAUGAUAAAUAUCCAACCCAAACAAACACAUUCAUCAACCCGCCUACCAAAUCUUCAUCGCACACGGAGCCGCACACCACCGCCAUCACGUUCGUCACAAAAAACGGACACCACAUGAUCACAAAAAGUAGGAAAACCACGCCGAGCACUUUGGAUGCCUUCUGUUCAUUGCUGAUGGACUGCAUGGAUCGGCGUCCGGAUCCUCUGGAAGCUCCUUCUCGGCAGAUUGAUGAGCGUGAGAAGAGACGCUCAGAGGAAACUGAACCUCGAGGGAGGAGUCCAAUGGUGGACGACCAUGUUGGACGCACGAUGAGUUGGUCCAGGCACAAAGUCGCUUCGCUUUGUAGAGCACUGAUGGUGAGAAAGUAUGUGACGACCAUGAUGAUGAGCGGGACGAAAAACGCCACAAACGAGCCAAUCAGGACGAAAUUGUUGUCCGUAAGUUGGCAGCUUUCGUUGCGGAAGACUUUGGAGUGGUCAUGAAGGCCGAGGACUGGAACAGGCAUGGAGAUAACUUGAGACAGAUGGAGAGAAAAUGAGAGUGAGAAGACAGCUUUGGCAGGCCAGUGUUAAUGGAUGCAGACUCAGUUGUUUAGCAUUUCAGAAUUGAGCUGGAAAGUAAGGAUGCACCAAUGUGGAUUUUUUUAUAUUGAUGCUCAGGGACGGGCAAAAAUAAACUGAAAUGUAUUUUAAAUAAAACACCAAAUAGCUCAAUUUUACAUGUAUCAAAAUAAACUACAAAAUACAGCAGCCACAACAAGUAUCAAAAUAAAAGUUCUUGAUGAAAUUUCUUCUCAAACCUUCCAUCAAUAGGCAUAUUUGAUCAGUCUCUUCACCAUUAAACUGACUUAGUGAAGUUAACAGCAACAGCGUUUGAAAGUUUUAAGUCCACUGGUCCGCACCUUGUUCACCUCUACUCCUGUGAGACAAAAACACCUGAGUAGG